Molecule: ribosomal RNA, 19 nt
Filed under: Pomaderreae sp. 'Jabiru'
Lineage: Eukaryota; Viridiplantae; Streptophyta; Magnoliopsida; Rosales; Rhamnaceae
Description: partial 18S ribosomal RNA
Source: RNAcentral
CCUGCGGGAAGGAUCAUUG